CCUACGGGUGGCAGCAGUGGGGAAUAUUGCACAAUGGGCGAAACCCUGAUGCAGCCACGCCGCGUGAGUGAAGAAGUAUUUCGGUAUGUAAAGCUCUUUCAGCAGGGAAGAAGAAAGCCGGUACCUGACUAAGAAGCCCCGGCUAACUACGUGCAAGCAGCCGCGGUAAUACGUAGGAGGCAAGCGUUAUCCGGAUUUACUGGGUUUAAAGGGAGCGUAGGCGGCUGGGAAAGUCUGAAGUGAAAGCCCGUGGCUCAACCGGGGAACUGCUGUGGAAACUGGAUAGCUUGAGUACUGGAGAGGCAGGCGGAAUUCCUGGUGUAGCGGUGAAAUGCGUAGAUAUCAGGAGGAACACCAGUGGCGAAGGCGGCCUGCUGGACAGAAACUGACGUCGAGGCUCGAAAGCGUGGGGAGCAAACAGGAUUAGAUACCCCAGUAGUC
RNAcentral lists this ribosomal RNA (441 nucleotides) under uncultured bacterium. RNAcentral's name for it is "partial 16S ribosomal RNA". It matches the Rfam family "Bacterial small subunit ribosomal RNA", at positions 338 to 795 of the family's 1533-position model. The record is from RNAcentral.